ACGAACGCUGGCGGCGUGCUUAACACCUGCAAGUCGAACGGAAAGGCCCUGCUUGCAGGGUACUCGAGUGGCGAACGGGUGAGUAACACGUGGGUGAUCUGCCCUGCACUUCGGGAUAAGCUUGGGAAACUGGGUCUAAUACCGGAUAGGAGCCAUCUUUAGUGUGGUGGUUGGAAAGUUUUUUCGGUGUAGGAUGAGCUCGCGGCCUAUCAGCUUGUUGGUGGGGUAAUGGCCUACCAAGGCGGCGACGGGUAGCCGGCCUGAGAGGGUGUACGGCCACAUUGGGACUGAGAUACGGCCCAGACUCCUACGGGAGGCAGCAGUGGGGAAUAUUGCACAAUGGGCGCAAGCCUGAUGCAGCGACGCCGCGUGGGGGAUGAAGGCCUUCGGGUUGUAAACUCCUUUCGCUAGGGACGAAGCUUUGUUGUGACGGUACCUAGAGAAGAAGCACCGGCUAACUACGUG
This 465-nucleotide ribosomal RNA is filed under the name uncultured bacterium. RNAcentral's name for it is "partial 16S ribosomal RNA". It matches the Rfam family "Bacterial small subunit ribosomal RNA", at positions 29 to 507 of the family's 1533-position model. The record is from RNAcentral.